AUGGGGAUAACCAAUUUCGUGCUCACGGUUGCCGGUGUUAGCGCCGUCGUGCUUCUCCUCCGAAGCGACGUCAAAAAAUCAGCUUCGAUUUUCAAACAAAACGUCAAACAGAUUCGUCACUGGCUCGAAGAAGAAACCCCCAAUCAUUCCAAGGUUACAAAAGAACUACAAUCAAAGGUUCCUCCAAAAGACAUACCUAAGGAAGAUAAGCACUAG
Molecule: non-coding RNA, 216 nt
Organism: Vicia faba (fava bean)
Lineage: Eukaryota; Viridiplantae; Streptophyta; Magnoliopsida; Fabales; Fabaceae
Source: the annotation of a GenBank genome assembly